Rhinopithecus roxellana (golden snub-nosed monkey) is the source of this 104-nucleotide small nuclear RNA. Lineage: Eukaryota; Metazoa; Chordata; Mammalia; Primates; Cercopithecidae. The record is from Ensembl.
GUGCUCACUUGAGCAGCACAUACACUGAAAUUGGAAUGAUACAGGGAUUAGCAUGGCCCCUGCACAAGGAUAAUAUGCAAAUUCAUAAAGUGUUCCAUUUUUUA